Molecule: ribosomal RNA, 447 nt
Filed under: uncultured bacterium
Lineage: Bacteria
Description: SSU rRNA
Rfam family: Bacterial small subunit ribosomal RNA
Source: RNAcentral
AGAGCGAACGCUGGCGGCAGGCUUAACACAUGCAAGUCGAGCGGGCGUAGCAAUACGUCAGCGGCAGACGGGUGAGUAACGCGUGGGAACGUACCUUUUGGUUCGGAACAACCCAGGGAAACUUGGGCUAAUACCGGAUAAGCCCUUACGGGGAAAGAUUUAUCGCCGAAAGAUCGGCCCGCGUCUGAUUAGCUAGUUGGUGGGGUAAUGGCCCACCAAGGCGACGAUCAGUAGCUGGUCUGAGAGGAUGAUCAGCCACAUUGGGACUGAGACACGGCCCAAACUCCUACGGGAGGCAGCAGUGGGGAAUAUUGGACAAUGGGCGCAAGCCUGAUCCAGCCAUGCCGCGUGAGUGAUGAAGGCCCUAGGGUUGUAAAGCUCUUUUGUGCGGGAAGAUAAUGACGGUACGCAAGAAUAAGCCCCGGCUAACUUCGUGCCAGCAGCCGC